RNAcentral lists this unclassified non-coding RNA (1589 nucleotides) under Acanthaster planci (crown-of-thorns starfish). RNAcentral's name for it is "uncharacterized LOC110974268, transcript variant X2". Lineage: Eukaryota; Metazoa; Echinodermata; Asteroidea; Valvatida; Acanthasteridae. The record is from RNAcentral.
AAUUAUUUUAUCGUAUGUGUCUUCAGUAUAGUAGUUGAAAACUGAAAGAAUUAUGCCGCAGGACGUGAGUUGGAGAAUUCCUCUACCGACAUUGGACCUAGGCGCAGGGGAAAAAAUUAACUUGAGGUUGAGGUCAGUUCGCCAUCAUCGAAAUGGACAAACUCGAAAAGUUCCAAUCGUAGAUCGUCCGCUCAAACCCCAGCUGAAAAUGGAAGAAGCCAUCCAGAGUUUCUUACCAUCGCUGAAGCCCAAGCCCGUGGCCAAGGAGCUCAUUAUCACAUCACGGACGCCUUCUCCAUGCUCAAAGGCCAGGCCAGUGCCUCACCUGCCACGUGCGUGCAUCCCCGUCUGGGGGACUGAUGACACGUCCCGCAGUGCGACCUACAACUGCCAUCUGUGCUGGGGGUUGGCGAAAUGCAACCCUGAGAUGCAUCCACAGAAUCUGCCGUCGAUCUCGGACACUGUGAGCUGGGCCUUCAGAGCCAAGAAAGAGAGGCUGAAGUCCGCCAGGCGCCAUGGGGGUGUUGCCAAGGACAAGAAGGCCAGGCGGAAAGAUAUCACCAAAGGGCAAGGUCCAGCAACACUAAAGGUGGAUGCAUGGUUGCAGACUGAUGCAUGCCCUGUGGAUGGAGAAAACCUUAAACUGUCUGAGCUUGGCAGUGAUAUUGUUUUGUUCCCUGGAACUACUCCCUCCAAUAACGUCACACUGGCGCUCCCUGCCAUAAAGGGGGCGGACACCAUCCUCCCCCAGCAUGUUGUGCCGCUUACAUUCUCCAAGGAGAAGCUCCAAGAUAUGCCAAGAACUGCCUGCCAUAGGGAACCCUGCAGCGACAAGAGGUGCCGGGCCAGCAGCCCAGCAGAUCACACAACGUGGGCAACGAAGCGAUUCACCAACAGGAUGUAGUGAAUUUAAAAUUUGAGAGGCCACGUUUUUGAUGAGACUAUAAAGUAUGCUCUUGAAUAUUUAAUCAUGAUCAUGAAUAAUGUAAUAUUCAGAUGAAGUGUUGUCCUUCUGGACCAGUUGCAUACAAUGACACGCUUCAGUCAAUCCACAGAAACCGGGAUAUGUUAAUAUAUGUCAAUGGUGCAUGUAUUUAAGGUACAUGCAUCAUCCCUUUGCUAAGGCCAGGCCCAGAGAAAUUUCUGGUUUGUCCACUGUCACACCUACAAUACUGCACUGUGUUAUGUACAAACAACCAUCUCAAAUCUGCAUCAGUGUCACUAGAGUCAGCCAAAUAUGUAACAAACAGAUUGAAUAGUACUUCAUUUAAGACACAGCCCAGUAAAAUACCAACAGAGAGUCCCCGCUCUGCCUAUUUUUUUGAGAAGUUGCUUUGGGACAUUCAACCCAUAACCAUGUUGGGACUGUGUUUUUGUAACACAAUCCGAUUCUCUUUUGUUCAAGGAACGUGCUCUUUUUGAUAUGAAAAUUCAUCCAACAUGUCAAAGGUUGCCUGCCUUAAAUCACCUAUGCUACUUCCUUCGACUGCAGAUCUCUUACUUCGAGGUUAUCAUUCCCAGGCAAACUAGAUCAAGGAAGUCAUUUUGCACUUGGAAGUCAUCCUUUGAGGGAGCCUCGACAGUUUUGG